This 272-nucleotide ribosomal RNA is filed under the name uncultured bacterium. RNAcentral's name for it is "partial 16S ribosomal RNA". It matches the Rfam family "Bacterial small subunit ribosomal RNA", at positions 524 to 794 of the family's 1533-position model. The record is from RNAcentral.
UACGGAGGGUGCAAGCGUUGUUCGGAAUUAUUGGGCGUAAAGGGCGUGUAGGUGGCACUCCAAGUCUGUUGUGAAAGCCCACGGCUCAACCGUGGAACUGCAAUGGAAACUGGGGCGCUCGAGUAUUGGAGGGGGUCGCGGAAUUCCCGGUGUAGAGGUGAAAUUCGUAGAUAUCGGGAGGAACACCAGCGGCGAAGGCGGCUUUCUGGACCAAUACUGACGCUGAGACGCGAAAGCGUGGGGAGCAAACAGGAUUAGAAACCCGUAGUAGU